UUCCAUCAAACCCAUACGUGUGGGGUAUAUAUGGAUAGGUCUUCAAUAAUGAUAUUGAGGUUUCUAAUAUAAUUUUUUUCUAAACUGAAUAGUUUGCGCGACAGACACUUCCAAAGUGGUAAAAUGUGUGUCCCCCCCCCCCCCCCCCCCCUGUAACUAAUAAAAUAAGGGAAUGAUAAAACUAAAAAAAAUAUAUGAUGUACAUUGCCAAGCAAACUUCCACCGAAAAUUGGUUUGAACGAGAUCUAGUAAGUCGUUUUUUUUUAAUACAACAUAUAUCGUAACACGCAAUUUUAUUAUGUUAUUUGCUGCUACGGAACCCUUCAUGGGCGAGUCCGGCUCGCACUUAGCCGCUUUUUAUGGAUAUUUAACCAAAUGGCAAAAAACGGAACCCUUAUGGAUUCGUCAUGUCUGUCUGUCUGUCCGUCCGUAUGUCACAGCCACUUUUUUCCGAAACAAUAAGAACUAUACUGUUGAAACUUGGCAAGUAGAUGUAUUCUGUGAACCGCAUUAAGAUUUUCACACAAAAAUAGAAAAAAAAACAAUACAUUUUGGGGGUUUCUCAUACUUAGAACUGAAACUCAAAAAAAUUUUUUUAUCAAACCCAUACGUGUGGGGUAUCGAUGGAUAGGUCUUCAAAAAUGAUAUUGAGGUUUCUAAUAUAAUUUUUUUCUAAACUAAAUAGUGUGCGCGAGAGACACUUCCAA
Cydia splendana is the source of this 707-nucleotide long non-coding RNA. RefSeq lists it as uncharacterized. The record is from RefSeq and is a predicted model, not a curated record. The transcript has 2 exons. Lineage: Eukaryota; Metazoa; Arthropoda; Insecta; Lepidoptera; Tortricidae.